This 955-nucleotide long non-coding RNA is filed under the name Suricata suricatta (meerkat). RNAcentral's name for it is "lncRNA (ENSSSUG00005016712.1)". The record is from RNAcentral. Lineage: Eukaryota; Metazoa; Chordata; Mammalia; Carnivora; Herpestidae.
CUCCAGGCCGCGCCCGCUCCCCAGAAACUCACACAUAGAAGAAAAAGAGGCAGAGUAUCGGGCACUUGGAAAAAGAUCUCGCCCGAAGUGGAGUAAAGGUACUCAGACAGAGCCCUGGAGCAGGACUGGGGGCCCGCAAAGGAGGCCCUGGAGCAGGACUGGGGGCCCGCAGAGGAGGCCCUGUGGCUCUGGCUGCGGGCAGCGCUGGAGGCCCUGUUGAGAAAGUGCAGGUGCCGCAGCCAGAGCGGGGUGAGCUGGGACUCUGCAGGGCCCUGUGUGAGCUCCUCGCUCCUCGCUCCGGAGCACAAAGUGAGGCUCCCAUCCUUCUCUCCCUGGUCUUUCUUGCUUGUCUGCAGCCCCAGGGAGGUCCCCUGAGGUAGAAAAUACUCUUCCCAGGCCGAGAGCUCUCCACUACUCAGGGCUGCUUGCCCACAUUGGGGGUCACGUUCUCAGGAAGAAGGCUGUCAAGGCCUGGGACAUCAUCCAAAGGAGACAGGAACCAAGCCCCCAACAGAGUUGCUGUGAAUAAUAUCAUUUCUGUGACGGUGCCCCUGGAGGUGUGCAGUGCAUUGCCUGGUGUGGCUGCGGGCAGUGGAUGGAGGCAAGGGAAGGGCCAGGGUCCCUGUGACCUACCCACCCCUCCAGAGAGUCAGAGGGAGGGAAGCAACUGGUGUUAGCUCAGUGGAUAGAAAAGUUUCUAGGGCCGAGUUGCCCCUGGUGAAAGCUGCAAUCCCCAGGGAGUGAGGAAGGUGAAGGUUCGUGCAAGCCAAAGAUUCUAGGGGAGGCCCCCAGAACCUCUGCCCCUUGCAAGGGUGUGGGCAACACCACCCUGUGAUGGCCUAGGUUCCUAAGCUUUUAGUGACCUGAUGGUCUCAGCCCACAGCUGACCCUCCGAGAGCUCCUGCUCCCUACCAUGCUGGGGGUGACCCCGGGGACCCACCUGUCUGCUCCUGCC